ACGGAAGGCAGCAGUGGGGAAUAUUGCACAAUGGGGGAAACCCUGAUGCAGCAACGCCGCGUGAGUGAAGAAGUAUUUCGGUACGUAAAGCUCUAUCAGCAGGGAAGAUAAUGACGGUACCUGACUAAGAAGCCCCGGCUAACUACGUGCAGCAGCCGCGGUAAUACGUAGGGGGCAAGCGUUAUCCGGAUUUACUGGGUGUAAAGGGAGUGUAGGUGGCCUGGCAAGCCAGAUGUGAAAGCCCGCGGCUCAACCGCGGGACUGCAUUUGGAACUGUUAGGCUUGAGUGCAGGAGAGGAAAGUGGAAUUCCUAGUGUAGCGGUGAAAUGCGUAGAUAUUAGGAGGAACACCAGUGGCGAAGGCGGCUUACUGGACUGUAACUGACGUUGAGGCUCGAAGGCGUGGGGAGCAAACAGGAUUAGAUACCCUGGUA
This 433-nucleotide ribosomal RNA is filed under the name uncultured bacterium. RNAcentral describes it as "partial 16S ribosomal RNA". It matches the Rfam family "Bacterial small subunit ribosomal RNA", at positions 341 to 792 of the family's 1533-position model. The record is from RNAcentral.